GGGCCAGAGUGCGAUGGGCGGAUAGGUUUUGAAAAUAUUUUGAAAAAGAAGCGGUGAAUCUCCUGUUAUUUGGGUUGCCAACUUGUUUGUUACCCGUGUUGGAUUUGGUUGUAGCUUCACCUGCGGUUGUGAUUCUUCUGAUUUCUUUUGUCUCUUCACAAGAAAGUUUUUUUGACAAUCACUGUGCUGAACAAAUACGGAAAAGAAUAAAUCGAAUUUUCUGAAUGCACGACUCAAUUAUUACACGAAGAAUACAGUUUUGGCAAAACCAUGAUCUAGGUGCAAAAACAGAUGAUAGCCGAAUUGUUAUAUCCACUUGGUAAGGCACUAUUUCGAGGGGAGGAGUUUGCUCCCGUCAACUCAUGUACAGUUUCUUCACAAUUUUCAUCCCUAUAUAUCUAUCUGAUCAUACAGUAAUCACAUCUACGAUCAACUAAAAACUCUGUGCACGGUUCAAAGACCGAAAAAUCCAGGUAUAGAUGCCCCCCCNNNNN
Molecule: long non-coding RNA, 494 nt
Filed under: Hordeum vulgare
Lineage: Eukaryota; Viridiplantae; Streptophyta; Magnoliopsida; Poales; Poaceae
Description: long non-coding RNA (HVUL_LNC013910)
Source: RNAcentral